UAGUGCAAUGGUAUAAGCAAGCUUAACUGCGAGACAGACAAGUCGAGCAGGUACGAAAGUAGGUCAUAGUGAUCCGGUGGUUCUGAAUGGAAGGGCCAUCGCUCAACGGAUAAAAGGUACUCCGGGGAUAACAGGCUGAUACCGCCCAAGAGUUCAUAUCGACGGCGGUGUUUGGCACCUCGAUGUCGGCUCAUCACAUCCUGGGGCUGAAGUAGGUCCCAAGGGUAUGGCUGUUCGCCAUUUAAAGUGGUACGCGAGCUGGGUUUAGAACGUCGUGAGACAGUUCGGUCCCUAUCUGCCGUGGGCGUAGGAGAAUUGGUUGGGGCUGCUCCUAGUACGAGAGGACCGGAGUGGACGCACCACUGGUGUUCCGGUUGUGUCGCCAGACGCAUUGCCGGGUAGCUAAGUGCGGAAGAGAUAAGUGCUGAAAGCAUCUAAGCACGAAACUUGCCAAGAGAUGAGUUCUCCCAAUCUAAGAGAUUGUAAGGGUUGUUGUAGACUACGACGUAGAUAGGUCUGGUGUGUAAGUGUAGUGAUACAUUGAGCUAACAGAUACUAAUUGCCCGAGAGGCUUAACUAUACAACGCUCAAG
RNAcentral lists this ribosomal RNA (592 nucleotides) under Haemophilus influenzae. RNAcentral describes it as "bacterial LSU rRNA". It matches the Rfam family "Bacterial large subunit ribosomal RNA", at positions 2347 to 2925 of the family's 2925-position model. The record is from RNAcentral. Lineage: Bacteria; Pseudomonadati; Pseudomonadota; Gammaproteobacteria; Pasteurellales; Pasteurellaceae.